Molecule: ribosomal RNA, 252 nt
Filed under: uncultured Bacteroidales bacterium
Lineage: Bacteria; Pseudomonadati; Bacteroidota; Bacteroidia; Bacteroidales
Description: partial 16S ribosomal RNA
Rfam family: Bacterial small subunit ribosomal RNA
Source: RNAcentral
UACGGAGGAUGCGAGCGUUAUCCGGAUUUAUUGGGUUUAAAGGGUGCGUAGGCGGAAUAUCAAGUCAGCGGUAAAAAUUCGGGGCUCAACCCCGUCGUGCCGUUGAAACUGAUGUUCUUGAGUGGGCGAGAAGUAUGCGGAAUGCGUGGUGUAGCGGUGAAAUGCAUAGAUAUCACGCAGAACUCCGAUCGCGAAGGCAAGUGUCCGGGGUGCAACUGACGCUGAGGCUCGAAAGUGCGGGUAUCAAACAGG